RNAcentral lists this ribosomal RNA (381 nucleotides) under uncultured bacterium. RNAcentral describes it as "bacterial SSU rRNA". It matches the Rfam family "Bacterial small subunit ribosomal RNA", at positions 29 to 412 of the family's 1533-position model. The record is from RNAcentral.
AUUGAACGCUGGCGGCAUGCCUUACACAUGCAAGUCGAACGGCAGCACGGGGCAACCUGGUGGCGAGUGGCGAACGGGUGAGUAAUGCAUCGGAACGUGCCAUUGAGUGGGGGAUAACGUAGCGAAAGUUGCGCUAAUACCGCAUACGACCUGAGGGUGAAAGCGGGGGGAUCGCAAGACCUCGCGCGAGAGGAGCGGCCGAUGGCGGAUUAGCUAGUUGGUGGGGUAAAGGCCCACCAAGGCGACGAUCCGUAGCGGGUCUGAGAGGACGGCCCGCCACACUGGGACUGAGACACGGCCCAGACUCCUACGGGAGGCAGCAGUGGGGAAUUUUGGACAAUGGGGGCAACCCUGAUCCAGCCAUUCCGCGUGAGUGAAGAA